GGAGAACGUGCGGCAGCCGGCGCACCAUCUCCCUUCAUGAAACGGACACAGCAGAUGAGGAGGAAUGGAAACAAGAUGGAAGUACAGGGAAGAGGAACCGAAGGGCUGUGGUGCACCGGCGCACCUCCCCUCAUGGUCAGAACUCGAAUGUGAAUGAACCGAGACUUGGAGCUCGAGAAACCAUGGAACCAGUCCCAGAGAAAAU
This 205-nucleotide unclassified non-coding RNA is filed under the name Hevea brasiliensis (rubber tree). Lineage: Eukaryota; Viridiplantae; Streptophyta; Magnoliopsida; Malpighiales; Euphorbiaceae. The record is from RNAcentral.